CACCACUCAAGCCUCGCUUGGUAUUGGGCAACGCGGUCCGCCGCGUGCCUCAAAUCGACCGGCUGGGUCUUCUGUCCCCUAAGCGUUGUGGAAACUAUUCGCUAAAGGUGGCUCGGGAGGCCACGCCGAAAAACAAACCCAUUUCUAA
RNAcentral lists this unclassified non-coding RNA (148 nucleotides) under uncultured Dothideomycetes. RNAcentral describes it as "sequence contains ITS2". The record is from RNAcentral. Lineage: Eukaryota; Fungi; Ascomycota; Dothideomycetes.